AAAAAGGCAAACCCUGAUUUUCUGUGUACAACUUUAAUUGUCCGUCUUAUAUAAAUUUUUUUUAUAAUUCGUAUUUUCAUUGUUGUUAGAUGAUAAAACAUGAUUAAUGUUUUAUGUGUGACUUGUCUUUUUAAUUUUUUUCAUAAUUUUUUCAAAUAAGACGAACGGUCAAACGUUGGACACGGAUACUAGGGUUUGUUUUUCUU
Molecule: non-coding RNA, 206 nt
Organism: Oryza nivara
Lineage: Eukaryota; Viridiplantae; Streptophyta; Magnoliopsida; Poales; Poaceae
Source: Rfam